UUUACCAGGGUGGUCAGGGCAGCUCUCUGGAAACACAGAAAGCCCAGUCUCCGGGCCUCACUCACAGACAGUCUCUUUAGCCCUCUGUGCCAAUAACCUGGACAUUUUGGACCUUACCAGAAACAGACGAGGCUCCAGUGUUUCCAUAGUGGUGUGUUUCAGCAGUGCAGAGGUCAGAGUCCACGCACCCGCACCCACGCAGCCGCAUGGCCACAUUUUGGUAUGCAGAUACACAGACGCAGGUCCUGAUAAGACUCCCCUGUGCAUCCCUCUGUGACAAGAAGAAGAUGUCCAGCAGAAUAAUGCAGAAUCGCAGCCUCCCCUCUAAAAGUGAAGGCGUGGAAAUGAAAGCUGGGCACUUUGGAGAGGAUGGCUGGAAGAAAUGAAGACGUGUCUGAUUUCCACAGCAACC
Molecule: long non-coding RNA, 412 nt
Organism: Epinephelus lanceolatus (giant grouper)
Lineage: Eukaryota; Metazoa; Chordata; Actinopteri; Perciformes; Serranidae
Source: RefSeq, a predicted model, not a curated record